RNAcentral lists this ribosomal RNA (253 nucleotides) under uncultured bacterium. RNAcentral's name for it is "partial 16S ribosomal RNA". It matches the Rfam family "Bacterial small subunit ribosomal RNA", at positions 524 to 776 of the family's 1533-position model. The record is from RNAcentral.
UACGAAGGGGGCUAGCGUUGCUCGGAAUCACUGGGCGUAAAGCGCACGUAGGCGGACUCUUAAGUCGGUGGUGAAAUCCUGGAGCUCAACUCCAGAACUGCCUUCGAUACUGGGAGUCUCGAGUUCGGGAGAGGUGAGUGGAACUGCGAGUGUAGAGGUGAAAUUCGUAGAUAUUAGGAAGAACACCAGUGGCGAAGGCGGCUUACUGGUCCGGUACUGACGCUGAGGUGCGAAAGCGUGGGGAGCAAACAGG